AACGAACGCUGGCGGCAGGCUUAACACAUGCAAGUCGAACGGAUCCUCAGGGAUUACUGGCCGACGGGUGAGUAACGCGUGGGAACGUACACUUUGCUACGGAAUAACUCAGGGAAACGUGAGCUAAUACCGGAUGUGCCCUACGGGGGAAAGAUUUCUCUUCCAAGGAUCGGCCCGCGUUGGAUUCGCUAGUUGGUGGUGUAAUGGCCUACCAAGGCGAAGCUCCAUAGCUGGUCUGUGAGGCUGAGCAGCCACCCUGGGACUGAGCCGCGGCCCAGACUCUUACGGGAUGGACCAGUGGGUAAUAUUGGACUAUGGGCUCAAGCAUGAUCCAGCCAUGCUGCGUGAGUGAUGUAGGUCUUAGGAUUGUAAAGCUCUUUCACCGGUGACGAUAAUGACGGUAGCCGGAGAAUAAGCCCCGGCUAACUUCGUG
Molecule: ribosomal RNA, 433 nt
Filed under: uncultured bacterium
Lineage: Bacteria
Description: partial 16S ribosomal RNA
Rfam family: Bacterial small subunit ribosomal RNA
Source: RNAcentral